Molecule: ribosomal RNA, 253 nt
Filed under: uncultured bacterium
Lineage: Bacteria
Description: partial 16S ribosomal RNA
Rfam family: Bacterial small subunit ribosomal RNA
Source: RNAcentral
UACGUAGGGUGCAAGCGUUGCCCGGAUUCAUUGGGCGUAAAGCGCGCGCAGGCGGCCUUCCAAGUCCCGCGUGAAAUCGCCCGGCUCAACCGGGCGGGGUCGCGGGAGACUGGGGGGCUCGAGCGAGGGAGGGGGCAGUGGAAUUCCCGGUGUAGUGGUGGAAUGCGUAGAUAUCGGGAGGAACACCGGUGGCGAAGGCGGCGAUCUGGGUCGAUACUGACGCUGAGGUGCGAAAGCGUGGGGAGCAAACAGG